RNAcentral lists this ribosomal RNA (253 nucleotides) under uncultured bacterium. RNAcentral's name for it is "partial 16S ribosomal RNA". It matches the Rfam family "Bacterial small subunit ribosomal RNA", at positions 524 to 776 of the family's 1533-position model. The record is from RNAcentral.
UACAGAGGGGGCAAGCGUUGUUCGGAAUUACUGGGCGUAAAGCGCACGUAGGCGGAUUUGUAAGUCAGGGGUGAAAUCCCGGGGCUCAACCCCGGAACUGCCUUUGAUACUGCGAAUCUCGAGUCCGGAAGAGGCGAGUGGAAUUCCUAGUGUAGAGGUGAAAUUCGUAGAUAUUCGCAAGAACACCAGUGGCGAAGGCGGCUCACUGGCCCGGUACUGACGCUGAGGUGCGAAAGCGUGGGGAGCAGACAGG